This 565-nucleotide ribosomal RNA is filed under the name uncultured bacterium. Its description in RNAcentral is "bacterial SSU rRNA". It matches the Rfam family "Bacterial small subunit ribosomal RNA", at positions 359 to 922 of the family's 1533-position model. The record is from RNAcentral.
AAUUAGCAAGGAAAGAAAUCUGAUUCAAUUAGCCGCGUGAGCGAAGAACGACUUCGGUUUGUAAAGCUCUCUUCUUCAUAAGAAACGUGGGGUGGGUGGCUAUGCAUUGCCACGACGGAAGUAAACGAGGAAGCCCCGGCUAACUACGUGGCAGCAGCCGCGGUAAUACGUUAGUGGCGAGCGUUGUCCGGAAUUAUUGGGCGUAAAGAGCAUGUAGGCGGCUUAAUAUGUCGAGCGUGAAAAUGCGGGGCUCAACCCCGUAUGGCGCUGGAAACUGUUAGGCUUGAGUGCAGGAGAGGAAAGGGGAAUUCCCAGUGUAGCGGUUAAAUGCGUAAAUAUUGGGAGGAACACCAGUGGCGAAGGCGCCUUUCUGGACUGUGUCUGACGCUGAGAUGCGAAAGCCCCGGUAGCGAACGGGAUUAAAUACCCCGGUAGUCCUGGCCGAAAACCAUGGGUACUAGGUGUACGAUGUAUCGACCCCUUCUGCGCCGGAGUUAACGCAUUAAAUACCCCGCCUGGGGAGUACUGCCGGAAGGUUGAAACUCAAAGGACUUGACGGAGGGCG